Molecule: unclassified non-coding RNA, 253 nt
Filed under: uncultured Flavobacteriaceae bacterium
Lineage: Bacteria; Pseudomonadati; Bacteroidota; Flavobacteriia; Flavobacteriales; Flavobacteriaceae
Description: contains 16S-23S intergenic spacer region
Rfam family: Bacterial small subunit ribosomal RNA
Source: RNAcentral
UACGGAGGAUGCAAGCGUUAUCCGGAAUCAUUGGGUUUAAAGGGUCCGUAGGCGGAUUGGUAAGUCAGUGGUGAAAGUCUGCAGCUCAACUGUAGAACUGCCAUUGAUACUGCCGGUCUUGAGUCAUUAUGAAGUGGUUAGAAUGAGCAGUGUAGCGGUGAAAUGCAUAGAUAUUGCUCAGAAUACCAAUUGCGAAGGCAGAUCACUAAUAAUGUACUGACGCUGAUGGACGAAAGCGUGGGGAGCGAACAGG